RNAcentral lists this ribosomal RNA (349 nucleotides) under Stygoporus oregonensis. RNAcentral describes it as "partial 12S ribosomal RNA". Lineage: Eukaryota; Metazoa; Arthropoda; Insecta; Coleoptera; Dytiscidae. The record is from RNAcentral.
UUUAAAUGUAAAUUUUUAUUAAAGUAGUAAUAGUUAUGUUCUUGAAAUUUAAAAAAUUUGGCGGUGUUUUAGUCUUUUCAGAGGAACCUGUUCUAUAAUCGAUAGUCCACGAUAAAAUAUACUUAAUUUAAUAGUUUGUAUAUCGUUGUUAUUAAAUAUUUUAUAAGAAUUAAAAUGUUUAAGAAUUUUUAUUAAAAAAAAUUUCAGAUCAAGGUGCAGUUUAUAAUUAGGAAGAAAUGGGUUACAAUAAAAUUAUUUAUAUGGAUUUGUAUUUUUAAAAGUAUAAUGAAGGUGGAUUUGAAAGUAAUAAAAUUUAGAUUGAUUUUAUGAUUUUAGCUCUAAAGUGUGU